This 1236-nucleotide ribosomal RNA is filed under the name uncultured fungus. RNAcentral describes it as "eukaryotic LSU rRNA". The stretch from base 576 to 1236 matches the Rfam family "Eukaryotic large subunit ribosomal RNA", at positions 1 to 667 of the family's 3401-position model. Lineage: Eukaryota; Fungi. The record is from RNAcentral.
CUUGGUCAUUUAGAGGAAGUAAAAGUCGUAACAAGGUUUCCGUAGGUGAACCUGCGGAAGGAUCAUUAACAAAUUGUGUGUGCGCGGGGUGUGGUGUGUGUGCGCUUUAUACGCGCCGCAUAACUACCCCGUGUGACAUUAACCCGGAGCCAUUCGGCUCCGAUAUUCACGCUUGUUUGUAUGACAGAGUUAUCACGUGACAUGAAAUAUAUACAACUUUUAACAAUGGAUCUCUUGGCUCUUGCAACGAUGAAGAACGCAGUGAAAUGUGAAAAGUAAUGCGAUUUGCAUGAAUCUGUGAGUCAUCUAAUCUUUGAACGCACCUUGCACCCUCUCAUGGAGGGUAUACGUGUUUGAGAAUCGUAACAGUAUCUUGUCUCUAGUUCAGAGGCAGACUUGAGCGCCCAGAGCGCUUUAAAUGCAGUAGUGUAUCUCUGCGCGACUCGCUUGGUGGACACUGUGUGCUGGAGACCUUGGUGUCUACUCACGGUGCGUCCCCUUGCGUAUAUGCGCAGAAGCAAGUGCACUCGUAAAAGUACACAAUAUUAUGUAUGUGUACAAACAAACAAACUAACUGAUCUCAAAUCACGUAAGACUACCCGCCGAACUUAAGCAUAUCAGUAAGCGGAGGAAAAGAAACUAACAAGGAUUCCCCUAGUAGCAGCGAGUGAAGCGGGAAGAGCUCAAAUUUAAAAUCUGGCAGGUCUCCUGUCCGAAUUGUAAUUUAAAGAGGCGCUAUCUGGCCAUGGUUUGGUGUUCAAGUCUCUUGGAAUAGAGCAUCACAGAGGGUGAGAAUCCCGUUUGGACACUGUUCCGUGGCCUAUAUGAGGCGCUUUCUAAGAGUCGAGUUGUUUGGGAAUGCAGCUCAAAAUGGGUGGUAAAUCUCAUCUAAGGCUAAAUACUGGCAAGAGACCGAUAGCGAACAAGUACCGUGAGGGAAAGAUGAAAAGCACCUUGAAAAGGGAGUUAAAUGGCGCGUGAAAUUGUUAAAAGGGAAACGAUUGGGACCAGUAUUGCUGCUUGCAGCGAGUCAGCGUUGGUUUGCUUUGCUUGAUAAUGCACCGGAGGAAGGUGGUGUCGGUCUUCGGGCUGGCAUUUUAUAGACUCUGUGCAACCGAGUGGAGCGGACCGAGCCUAGCGGUCAAUUCACCGCUUGUAGUACCGCGUGCCGGCUACUUGCGCGUUGAUGCUGUGCUGACGAAAUGGUCUUAAACGACCCGUCUUGAAACACGGACC